Molecule: long non-coding RNA, 919 nt
Filed under: Phoenix dactylifera (date palm)
Lineage: Eukaryota; Viridiplantae; Streptophyta; Magnoliopsida; Arecales; Arecaceae
Description: long non-coding RNA (PDAC_LNC016930)
Source: RNAcentral
AUUAAUUAACUCACCAUUUAUGUGUAUUAGGGACUCCUUUGCAUGAGUACAAGGUCCCUUUUAGCUUGAUCUAGGCUUAAUACUCUAUUAUAGCAUGAAAUCCCCUAUUUUCCACCCGAAUGAACAGUAACCCGAACUGACAGUGGGUUACUUCAUCCCGGGUUUGAUCCACUUUCCAAACUCCAAAUUUGAUGAAAUUUUUACCUAACAUUCUACACUCAUAGGGGAUUCCAAAGAGGUAACAUGCAUUACUAUCGGAGGUCGUUUGACCCCCUAAAUAAUUCGCCGAAGUUGGGACUUCGACACAGUUUUUCCGUAGUGCCGGAAAAAUUUGUCAAAAUCCGAUUCUUCCUCUUUUAACCGCCUCUACAACCCUUAUCCGACCCCUCUAGACUAUAUCCACCCUUUGUAUAGCCUAAUGUCAUCAAAAGACUAGAUAGGGACGGAUAUUUACCUUUUUCUUUUUGGAAAUCGAGGUCCUUGCGUAGAGGGGAAGGAGAUCUACGUUUUUUCCUUCAGCUGGCAGCGCAACCGGGAUCUCCUUCCUUUUCUUUUUCUUCUUCUUCUUUCUCUUCCUUUCUUCCUUUCCUUUCCUCUCCUUCCUUUUUUUCCUCUCUGUUGCCGUCUGAGAACCCCCCCUCUCUGUCUCUCGGUUUCAUUCCAAAGCCACAGCAAACCCUCCAAUUAAAUCACAUCAAGAUACUAUUCACCCUUUUUUUAAUAUUAUUAAAUUCUCAUUUUGCCCCUAACACUUCAACAUAUCUACUGUUAUGCCAUUAACUUUUGAUUCCUUUCCAAUUUUACCCUUACCACUUCAACGCAUCUACAACUAUGCCAUUAUCUUUUGAUUCCUUCCAAUUUUACCCCUUAUAUCAAUUUUAAAGGACUAUUCUAUCCCUUUUUAUAAAAAAAAAAUUUU